This 497-nucleotide ribosomal RNA is filed under the name uncultured bacterium. Its description in RNAcentral is "partial 16S ribosomal RNA". It matches the Rfam family "Bacterial small subunit ribosomal RNA", at positions 28 to 507 of the family's 1533-position model. The record is from RNAcentral.
GAUGAACGCUGGCGGCGUGCCUAAUACAUGCAAGUCGAGCGAACAGACGAGGAGCUUGCUCCUCUGACGUUAGCGGCGGACGGGUGAGUAACACGUGGAUAACCUACCUAUAAGACUGGGAUAACUUCGGGAAACCGGAGCUAAUACCGGAUAAUAUAUUGAACCGCAUGGUUCAAUAGUGAAAGACGGUUUUGCUGUCACUUAUAGAUGGAUCCGCGCCGCGUUAGCUAGUUGGUAAGGUAACGGCUUAUCAAGGCGACGAUGCGUAGCCGACCUGACAGGGUGAUCGGCCACACUGGAGCUGAGACACGGUCCAGGCUCCUACGGGAGGCAGCAGUAGGGAAUCUUCCGCAGUGGGCGAAAGCCUGACGGAGCAGCGCCGCGUGAGUUAUGAAAGUCUUCGGAUCGUAAAACUCUGUUAUUAGGGAAGAACAAAUGUGUAAGUAACUAUGCACGUCUUGACGGUACCUAAUCAGAAAGCCACGGCUAACUACGUG